GAUGAAGAACGCAGCGAAAUGCGAUACUUGGUGUGAAUUGCAGAAUCCCGUGAACCAUCGAGUCUUUGAACGCAAGUUGCGCCCGAAGCCAUUAGGCCGAGGGCACGCCUGCCUGGGCGUCACACGUCGUUGCCCCCCCAUCUACUCCUUCGGGAUUGCGGGGGGCGGAUGAUGGCCUCCCGUGCGCCUCGCCGCGCGGUUGGCCUAAAUGCCAAGUCCUCGGCGACGCACGCCACGACAAUCGGUGGUUGCGAAACCUCGGUUGCCCGUCGUGUGCGGUCGUCGCGCAUCGAGGGCUCGAAAAAAUUGCCGGGCUUCGGCUCGACUUUCAACGCGACCCCAGGUCAGGCGGGGUUACCCGCUGAAUUUAAGCAUAUCAAUAAGCGGAGGA
This 391-nucleotide unclassified non-coding RNA is filed under the name soil metagenome. RNAcentral's name for it is "partial contains 5.8S ribosomal RNA, internal transcribed spacer 2, and large subunit ribosomal RNA". The stretch from base 1 to 122 matches the Rfam family "5.8S ribosomal RNA", at positions 35 to 154 of the family's 154-position model. The record is from RNAcentral.